AGAGUUUGAUCCUGGCUCAGGAUGAACGCUAGCUACAGGCUUAACACAUGCAAGUCGAGGGGCAGCAUGGGAUUAGCUUGCUAAUCCUGAUGGCGACCGGCGCACGGGUGAGUAACGCGUAUCCAACCUUCCCCCUGCUCAGGGAUAGCCCGGUGAAAACCGGAUUAAGACCUGAUAGUUUCACUAGAUGGCAUCUGACGGUGAAUAAAGGUUUCGGCAAGGGAUGGGGAUGCGUCUGAUUAGCUUGUUGGCGGGGUAACGGCCCACCAAGGCGACGAUCAGUAGGGGUUCUGAGAGGAAGGUCCCCCACAUUGGAACUGAGACACGGUCCAAACUCCUACGGGAGGCAGCAGUGAGGAAUAUUGGUCAAUGGGCGGAAGCCUGAACCAGCCAAGUAGCGUGCAGGAUGACGGCCCUAUGGGUUGUAAACUGCUUUUGUGCGGGAAUAAAGUCAGGGACGCGUCCCUGUUUGCAUGUACCGCAAGAAUAAGGACCGGCUAAUUCCGUGCCAGCCGCCGC
This 519-nucleotide ribosomal RNA is filed under the name uncultured bacterium. Its description in RNAcentral is "bacterial SSU rRNA". It matches the Rfam family "Bacterial small subunit ribosomal RNA", at positions 8 to 518 of the family's 1533-position model. The record is from RNAcentral.